RNAcentral lists this ribosomal RNA (253 nucleotides) under uncultured bacterium. RNAcentral describes it as "partial 16S ribosomal RNA". It matches the Rfam family "Bacterial small subunit ribosomal RNA", at positions 524 to 776 of the family's 1533-position model. The record is from RNAcentral.
UACGUAGGGUGCAGGCGUUAAUCGGAAUUACUGGGCGUAAAGCGUGCGCAGGCGGUUUGUUAAGACAGGUGUGAAAUCCCCGGGCUUAACCUGGGAACUGCAUUUGAAACUACGAGGCUAGAGUGUGUCAGAGGGGGGUAGAAUUCCACGUGUAGCAGUGAAAUGCGUAGAGAUGUGGAGGAAUACCGAUGGCGAAGGCAGCCCCCUGGGAUAACACUGACGCUCAUGCACGAAAGCGUGGGGAGCAAACAGG